GCACGCGGGGCAGGUGGGCGGGUGUUUGUUGUUGCCAUUGAGGCCGUUCCGGGAGGAUUCUGUGCUGUUGCUUUUCUCGGUGCCCAGGCUCAUGUCGGCCAAACCUAGCCUCCUGGUUGUUCUCAGCGCUGCUGCUGAAGGUGUAUCUGCACAGUCGUUUUAUCAUUCCUAUACACAAUGUAAUACAGCCUUUAACCUUCAGAUUGCCACUCCAGGGGGGAAGCCGAUGGAUUUUGUGGAGCUGGAUGAGAAUAAUAUACGCUGGAUCCAGGACUUCCGUAUGAAGCCAUACUCAAAUCCAGCUAAGCUGGAGUCGAUUGAUGGUGCAAGGUACAACGCUAUCCUGAUUCCAAACUGUCCUGGUGCUAUGGUAGAUCUUGCAACCAGUGGAUAUCUGGCCAAGAUUCUCCAGCAUUUCUGUGCUGAGAAAAAACCAAUUUGUGUGGUGGGUCAUGGAGUUGCUGCUUUAUGUUGUGCGACUAACCAGGACAAGUCAUGGAUAUUCGAGGGAUACAGCAUCACUGGACCCUCUGUCUUCGAGCUAGUAAGGAGGAAAGAUUUUGCAAGCCUUCCAGUCAUUGUGGAGGAUUUUGUGAAAGACUCGGGAGCCACUUACAGUGCUUCUAAACCUGAUGCUGUACAUGUCGUGAUUGAUAGGCACCUUAUAACUGGACAGAAUGACCAAUCUACUCCCACUGCCAUCCAGAACCUCAUACUUUUCUGUAAUGCAAGAUAGAGGCCAUUUGGCCCAUCGAGUUUGCAUCGAUCCCCUGCAGAGCAUCUCUCCCAGAUCCCCCUCACCUGUAUCCCUGUAACCCCAUAUUUCCCAUGGCCAACCCACCAAGCCUGCACAUCCCUGGACACUACUGGUCAAUUUAACAUGGCCAAUUCACCAAUCGUGCACAUCUUUGAACUGUGGGAGAAGACUGGAGCACCCACUGGAAGCCCACACAGAUAUGGAGAGCUCCACACAGAUAGUCACCCAACGCUGGAAUUGAACCUGGACCCCUGGUGCUGUGAGACCGCUGUUUCGCCUGCGUAGGCCAGAUUGGGAAAGUGUAAAUCUGAUGCUGACUGCUCACUUGCAUCUCUAACAGAAGUUGGUGCAAUUGAUCCCUUACCCUGAUGAAGUUAUUGAGACAAAGCACACUGCAACUUGUUUUGGAGCAUCAUGAACUCCCACUGACCAAGAAACAUUUGUCGAUACAGAUUUGUCACCGUUGACUCUCCAAAUCUCUGAUUUGUGUAAUCCAUGGGGACCCACUAUUGUAAAGCCUGUGAUUCUGA
Stegostoma tigrinum is the source of this 1287-nucleotide RNA transcript. It is a transcript of the gene named glutamine amidotransferase class 1 domain containing 1, with no coding region annotated. The transcript is spliced from 9 exons. NCBI's taxonomy places the organism in Eukaryota, Metazoa, Chordata, Chondrichthyes, Orectolobiformes, Stegostomatidae. The record is from RefSeq and is a predicted model, not a curated record.